This 72-nucleotide transfer RNA is filed under the name candidate division CPR3 bacterium 4484_211. Its description in RNAcentral is "tRNA-Lys". It matches the Rfam family "tRNA". From Rfam's summary of the family: Transfer RNA (tRNA) molecules are approximately 80 nucleotides in length. Their secondary structure includes four short double-helical elements and three loops (D, anti-codon, and T loops). Further hydrogen bonds mediate the characteristic L-shaped molecular structure. tRNAs have two regions of fundamental functional importance: the anti-codon, which is responsible for specific mRNA codon recognition, and the 3' end, to which the tRNAs corresponding amino acid is attached (by aminoacyl-tRNA synthetases). tRNAs cope with the degeneracy of the genetic code in two manners: having more than one tRNA (with a specific anti-codon) for a particular amino acid; and 'wobble' base-pairing, i.e. permitting non-standard base-pairing at the 3rd anti-codon position. Lineage: Bacteria; candidate division CPR3. The record is from RNAcentral. RNAcentral also lists the same sequence under 1 other name.
GCUCCGUUAGCUCAGUGGUAGAGCAGUGGUCUCUUAAACCAUUGGUCGUAGGUUCGAAUCCUACACGGAGCA